GCCCCUUCCCAAAAGCCCCCGCACGAAGCCUCCCAAAAUCCUCAGCCUCCAGUACGCCGCUGCCAUUGCACUCCCCUCCUCCAAUCCAGUCACCACAGAUCGCCGCUGGCAGCUCAAUCCCGUGCAUCCUCCAUCCACUUGUGGCCGCCACCGCCGUCGCUUCUCCCGCGGCCGUUCUGCUUCCCCCCGCCCUACGGCUUCCCGUCAUUCCCCAUCCGCCACCACGACCACCACUGGGGACGCGGACCCGAUGGGCGCCAUCGACGGCACCGUCACAACCCCCCGUCUUCCCCUUCUCCGACGGCAACCCCGUGUAGCCGCCGCUUCUAUCUCCCCCAAGCUGAGUGCUUCCCCUCUCUACCUCUAAGCAAAUCGAGUUGAACCCUUGUGAAAUCGAUCUCCAGAUUCAAUCUCCACACGAACUCCAUCCCUAUUCAUGAAAUCCAUAAAAAAUCUCAACGAAUCCGAGUUCAAUCCGACCACCUCGGAUCCUGGGUGCCGCCUAUGUAUAUCAAGGGAGUUUGAUCUACAGGAGGGGGGGGGGGCAGAUUGAAGAAGUGGGCAGAUCCCUGCUGCUGGGCUCGGGCGGAGCCCCUGCUGUCACUGCCCAUGGCGGACGGAGGAGAGAGGAUGGAGGCCCUGCCACCCUCGCUGCAACCCAAAGUACAGGAGGAGAGCACUAUCUUGCCAUACCCAUUGCGCAUAUACCAACUGUAAAUAACCUUGAGAGAACCAAAGAUGAUCACCAAUUAGUCAGUCACAUGGUGAAGGUGGGGAAAGAUUUGUUCAAUCGAGAUGCUCCUGAUUCUGAGGAACACAAGUAUUAUCAAAAGGAAUAUAUUUGAUCAGUUUGUGUUGUAUACUUGUUUGGGUUUCAUCAGCCCCCAUUUAAUAGUGUUGAUCACCUUCAUCUUCGCUGCCUGGCACUUCCAUUUAUGCCUAGUUGGAGAGAAGUUAAAUAUACACCUUUGGGACCCUUAGGGGGUUUUAUUGAAGCUGAGGCGCUAUUGGAAAGAAUAAAACCACAAGCAGAAACAUACAGUUAGCAUGGAUACUUUGAUUGGCAGGGCUGGACGGUGCUAACUAGCAGAUUUGAGCUGUACGCAUGUUUGGUGGCUUUUUGGUGUACAAAGUUAGAUUUGAGCUGUACACAGGCAGACAUGUUUGGUGGCUUCUGGGUUAUGAGCUUUAGAUCUGAGAAUGCUUCUGUUAAAAAAUGCUAUCAUUUAGUAUUUUCAGCAUGCAAGUAUGUAUUUUGGAUCAUUGAAGUCGAUGUAUACUUGUCUGUAGUACUAUGGAAUAUGUGAACUGUGACCUUUUGGUUGA
Molecule: long non-coding RNA, 1326 nt
Organism: Phragmites australis (common reed)
Lineage: Eukaryota; Viridiplantae; Streptophyta; Magnoliopsida; Poales; Poaceae
Exons: 6
Source: RefSeq, a predicted model, not a curated record